CUUUUAGGUCUAAAGUUCCGACGCCUCAGGAUGGGUCUGCGGCCUAUCAGGGUAGUAGUGGGUGUAAAGUACCUACUAGCCUACGACGGGUACGGGUUGUGAGAGCAAGAGCCCGGAGAUGGAUUCUGAGACACGAAUCCAGGCCCUACGGGGUGCAGCAGGCGCGAAACCUUUACAAUGCUGGCAACAGCGAUAAGGGGACCUCGAGUGCUACGAUACAAUCGUGGCUGUCUAGUUGCCUAAAAAGCAAUUGAUAGCAAGGGCCGGGCAAGACCGGUGCCAGCCGCCGCGGUAACACCGGCGGCUCGAGUGGUAACCGCUAUUAUUGGGUCUAAAGGGUCUGUAGCCGGCUUAGUUAGUCUCUUGAGAAAUCUGGCCGCUCAACGGUCAGGCGUUCAGGGGAUACUGCUAAGCUCGAGACCGGGAGAGGUGAGAGGUACUUCAGGGGUAGGGGUGAAAUCUUGUAAUCCUUGAAGGACCACCAGUGGCGAAGGCGUCUCACCAGAACGGAUCUGACGGCAAGGGACGAAAGCUAGGGGCACGAACCGGAUUAGAUACCCGGGUAGUCCUAGCCGUAAACGAUACUCGCUAGGUGUCGGCCACGGUGCGACCGUGGUCGGUGCCGUAGGGAAGCCGUG
RNAcentral lists this ribosomal RNA (638 nucleotides) under uncultured archaeon. Its description in RNAcentral is "bacterial SSU rRNA". It matches the Rfam family "Archaeal small subunit ribosomal RNA", at positions 179 to 816 of the family's 1478-position model. The record is from RNAcentral.